This 1048-nucleotide long non-coding RNA is filed under the name Arabidopsis lyrata. RNAcentral's name for it is "long non-coding RNA (ALYR_LNC001179)". The record is from RNAcentral. Lineage: Eukaryota; Viridiplantae; Streptophyta; Magnoliopsida; Brassicales; Brassicaceae.
GUGUGGGAUUUGACUGCUGGAAAACUUUUGCAUGAGUUUAAGAGUCAUGAAGGGCAAAUUCAGAGUCUAGAGUCUGGAAACCAAAUGUCACAAUUAACCUAGUCGAUGACUUUACUCGGUACGUUAGUUAGUACUGGUAAUUGGUACCGGUAUGGCAUGCUUGCUUUUCUUUUGGUUUCACUCUUAACAAUGAAUUUCAUAAGACGUUUGCUGAUUGUUUUCGAGUUCCAUACAGCUAUCCACAGCAUGGUGUACCACCAAACAUUGCUCCUUGUAUCCUUUUAUUUCUAAGGAUGAUGUGCCUAUUAUAAUUUGAGUUUUUGACAAUUCUCUAUGCACAUCUUUCUCUAACAAUUGAAGCCACUGGCAUGUGUGUCAUCUUCCAUGCCAUUUUUAACAUUAGUUGGUUUAAACUAGUUUGAAAGUUCAAAAUUCUCAAGGACUAAAACGUGAGUUUCUGUGUUCUUGGAAGUGGUGCCACAUCUCUUUACAUCAUAUUUUUGUAUAAGAUGCACAAUAUGCUUCUUCUUUUUAUUUUCUUGCUUUGCUGUUAAUCGUUGGAUUGGUGAAUAUACGAGGACUUCACUUGUAUCCGCUAAACAGGAUGAAUCUUUUCACUAUUUCAGCCGUUGCAACUUACUUGCCAAAGCGAAAAGCAGAUAAGAAGAAGAGUUUGUUGGGAAAUCCCAAAGACUCUGAUGAAUCCAAAGUUGAAGUUGAGGUAUGUCUCUACAGAAACUUCUGAUACGGAAUUUUUUUAUAUGUGUUUAUGUUAAUGUUUAGCCUGUGAUGGCACUCAUUCUCAUGAACUAACCACAAAGCAAACUUCGCAGGAGGUUGAUGGUAAGGACUCGGAUCUCAAGGAUGAGGGCCCUGUGGAAUGGGUAUCCUACUGGAAACCAAAUGUCACAAAUAACCUAGUCGAUGACUUUACUCGGUAAGUUAGUUAGUACUGAUAAUUGAUAGAUGAAUAAUGGAUUUAUGGCAUCCUUGCUUUUCUUUUGGGUUCACUCUUAACAUUGAAUUUCGUAAGACGUUUGGUAAUUGU